AAGCUAGCUGUAAACUCAUAAAAAAUUAAUGGAAAAACUAAAAAUUAAAUUGUUAGUUUUUGAAUUAAUGGAAAUUCAAGUUUUUUUUUUACUAAAAAAACUCUAAAUACAUAUUCUGGUUAUGGAUCGUUCCUUAUAUAGGUGCAUUCUUGUUUGAUAAUCGUGCAGAUGAAAUUAUAUAACUGUAAAGUGAAUUGAUGUCUUCUUCUCUACUU
Molecule: long non-coding RNA, 215 nt
Filed under: Carica papaya (papaya)
Lineage: Eukaryota; Viridiplantae; Streptophyta; Magnoliopsida; Brassicales; Caricaceae
Description: long non-coding RNA (CPAP_LNC009550)
Source: RNAcentral